Molecule: non-coding RNA, 338 nt
Organism: Pelobates cultripes (western spadefoot toad)
Lineage: Eukaryota; Metazoa; Chordata; Amphibia; Anura; Pelobatidae
Source: the annotation of a GenBank genome assembly
AUUAAUGUCUCAUGAAUUUCCUAUUUAUAUUCGUUUGCCCUCAUUCUCUAUGAUGUCUCUACAUGAGAGACUCUUUAUGUGUAUACAGAGAUCGCAUCUCGCCCCUAAAUAAGAUGGCGACCAAAGACUUACAUAUGUAUGAACUAAUAGAAAUGCGACCACUCUAGAUGAUGACACAAGCGGAAAUGACGUUACGCGACACAGCCGCCGACCAUCCGCAAUUAAGGAAGUCUUCUAUUAAGUGUGAACUGAAGAUAUAAAAGGAAAACCGGAACACAGAUGAUGUUACCGAUUGAAAAAGCCGCUGGGCAAAACGCGUCUCGGAGGAUCAACAGGAU